This 497-nucleotide ribosomal RNA is filed under the name uncultured bacterium. RNAcentral's name for it is "partial 16S ribosomal RNA". It matches the Rfam family "Bacterial small subunit ribosomal RNA", at positions 28 to 507 of the family's 1533-position model. The record is from RNAcentral.
GAUGAACGCUGGCGGCGUGCCUAAUACAUGCAAGUCGAGCGAACAGACGAGGAGCUUGCUCCUCUGACGUUAGCGGCGGACGGGUGAGUAACACGUGGAUAACCUACCUAUAAGACUGGGAUAACUUCGGGAAACCGGAGCUAAUACCGGAUAAUAUAUUGAACCGCAUGGUUCAAUAGUGAAAGACGGUUUUGCUGUCACUUAUAGAUGGAUCCGCGCCGCAUUAGCUAGUUGGUAGGGUAACGGCUUACCAAGGCAACGAUGCGUAGCCGACGUGAGAGGGUGAUCGGCCACACUGGAACUGAGACACGGUCCAGACUCCUACGGGAGGCAGCAGUAGGGAAUCUUCCGCAAUGGGCGAAAGCCUGACGGAGCAACGCCGCGUGAGCGAUGAAGGUCUUCGGAUCGUAAAACUCUGUUAUGAGGGAAGAACAAAUGUGUAAGUAACUAUGCACGUCUUGACGGUACCUAAUCAGAAAGCCACGGCUAACUACGUG